UGCCAGCAGCCGCGGUAAUACGGAGGGGGCUAGCGUUGCUCGGAAUUACUGGGCGUAAAGAGCACGUAGGCGGGUAUUCUAGUCAGGCGUGAAAGCCCCAAACUCAACCUGGGAACUGCGUUUGAUACUGGAUACCUAGAGUCCGAGAGAGGGUGGUGGAAUUCCCAGUGUAGAGGUGAAAUCCGUAGAUAUUGGGAAGAACACCAGUGGCGAAGGCGGCCACCUGGCUCGGUACUGACGCUGAGGUGCGAAAGCGUGGGGAGCAAACAGGAUUAGAUA
RNAcentral lists this ribosomal RNA (279 nucleotides) under uncultured bacterium. Its description in RNAcentral is "partial 16S ribosomal RNA". It matches the Rfam family "Bacterial small subunit ribosomal RNA", at positions 506 to 784 of the family's 1533-position model. The record is from RNAcentral.